Molecule: long non-coding RNA, 1291 nt
Organism: Quercus lobata
Lineage: Eukaryota; Viridiplantae; Streptophyta; Magnoliopsida; Fagales; Fagaceae
Exons: 5
Source: RefSeq, a predicted model, not a curated record
UCCUCAAAUAAGCACUGUGUAUGGUUUGCAAAAGGUUGGAGUUCAAUUUUUGGGAAUAGAAUCCACGAACCAAAACGGCAUAAUAGUAUUCCCUAUGUUGAAGGAUCUCUAUGUAGAGAGUUAGUAAGAGUGGGAAGAAUGAAUUGAUAUUGGAGGAAUGAGAGAAGAAGAAAAAGAAAAAGAUAAUGGCAGCAGUACUGUUACUAUAAAAAUAAUGACACGUCUUAAUUUCUUGACAAUUUGGUAUUGCCAAAAGCUAAAGCCACUGCCAGACUUCAUUCUUACUACUCCAUUACAACAAUUGAAAAUCCGGGGCCCUAUACUUCUCAUAUCCCAAACAUUCAAAUUGAUUUCAAGGAUGUGCAAAUUGACGGUCGACUCCAGUUGGAUUCAGGCACUUCAAAGAUUAAAGGCAAUGAAUCCGGGCAAGAAAUCAAUGAUAAAGAUGAGGUGGACAAGAUUCAGGACAGUAAUUUUGAGUAUGAGGCGGAUGAACAAUUGGAAGUACACAUUGAUGAGACUGGGUAGUAAGAGCAAGGUGUUGAAGAGGACAGAGAUUUUAAAGACGAAGGAUGAGGUAUGCAUGUAGAUGGAUGAUGAUCAAGACAAUGAAUUCAGCCAGGAAAUCAAUGGCGAAAAUGAUGUGGUUGAGGUAUCCAAGAUUGAGGACAGUAAUGAUGAAGAAAAUGGGACUAAGCAUAAGGAUUUAUCAAACAAGAAGAUGGGACUAAGAAUAAGGUGGAUGAAGAAGUAGAAGUAGGCAACGAUGAGGGAAAUUCACAGAGCUGGACAGUACAGGCCGAUUGACAUUCACUGAAGAAGUGGGAUACAUAUUUUGAGAGUGGGUAGUGAGAGCAAGGUGUUGAAGAUGACAGAGACUUUAAAGAUGAAGGAGGAGGUAUCAUGAAUUUUAGCUUCAAGUAGAGUUCUUUAGAAUGAUGAUACUGAUAGUGAGAGAGAAGUGAGAUAUAAAGCCUCAUUGACUGAAGUUUGAUGUGACUUUAACUCUCCAUUUUUAGGAUUUCUUUGACUCUCACCUCAGAACCAGAAUGAUCAAUUUCUCCCUGCUGUCUCCCUUGCCAGUCUUCGGUGAUAUAUUUAAAUGGUGGAGGAUCUCAGCAUAAAGAUGUACUUGAUAUCACAGUGACAAAAUCCAGUCCUGCAGUACCGUUUCUGUUGCAGCUAAAAUGAUGCAAGUGUAAUUGGGUCUUAAAUUUCAUUCAAACACGAUAAAUUGUUUAAUAUUAUAAUUGUCAAUUCAUUUUGUUUAUAUGAAAACAUUUACAUACAG